Molecule: long non-coding RNA, 1419 nt
Filed under: Mytilus galloprovincialis (Mediterranean mussel)
Lineage: Eukaryota; Metazoa; Mollusca; Bivalvia; Mytilida; Mytilidae
Source: RNAcentral
UGUAGUAAAUGAUGAAUAAAAACAAUCUAUUUUCGUCAUAGAAACACAAAUUAGUAGAAAAUCUUUUGGAAUAUUGUAAUUAAUUAUCAAAUUGCUAUAAAAUAAUAAACACAAUCUUCAAACAGUAAACAUAAUAUGGAUAUUUACCUAAGUAGUGUACUUUAACAUAUAACUCCGUGAUAAUUAAAUCUCUAAGUCGUAAAAAUAUUGUCAAGAAAAGCAAAUGAAAAUGGUCAUACUUUUGACAAUGUAAUCCAACAUGAUGGAUGUUAUCUAUAACACACUCGAGCAUGAACAAAAUAUAAAUAAAAAGAAUGUGAAAAUAUAAACAACAAACAAAUAAAGAAUAAAAAGAAUAUAUUUCCUCUCAUGGCGAUGUAAACUUAGUACAAAUCAUGAGUUUCUGUUGCAAACAAAAAUUAAAAAUCACAAUAAUGAAAAAUUAUGCUUGAUUGAUGUUGCUGCUUUGUCUGUGUCAAUUAAAAACUUCGUGUAAUUAUUUCUGAUACAUAUGGAUUUUAUUGUUUCUUCCUCAAUUUAUAUACAGAAGUACCAACAUAUUUUUUUUCUAAAAUAAAACAUUAACUUUCUCAUAUCUAAAUUACAAUUGAUAAUUUGUUGCUAAAAUUAUAAUAGCUAUAAUGAGAGUUUAUAUUACAAUAGGUUGGGUCAAAAAAUCUCACAAAUUCAAACCUCCCUCCUACAACCAUGAUAAUAAUGAUUCAUUUCAAAAGACAACAAAAAUACUAAUACCAAAUUUGAAUUUCAAAGUAAACUAUAGAAAUUAUUUGAAAUAGAUUUUUAACUAUGUACAUGGAAAUACCAAAAAUGACUUAAAAUCAUUAUCGAUCUACUGUUCCAAUAUCAUAAACGUGCUAUUAGAAGUUUCAUAAUUUAUUCAUAUUCCAAAAAGACGUAAUCAAAACAAUUGUUUGGAAUUCAUAGUUAUCUCUUUUAUCUUGUAAGUUUUUUUCUGUUGAUACUUCUCAUAUCUCAAAUUUGACACUGAAGGGAAAUGUUGAUUUGAGCAUUUCCAUGUAUCAGAGUAUUAAAUUGAUACAUCUUCGUGUAGUAUGCUUUACAUGAUUUAUCGACUCCAUAUUGGUUUUGAAUAAAUAAUUAAUAUUCUUUACAUAUCAAAUGCAGAAAAGAAAAUAUGAUCUUUUUUGAAUAGGAAGGAAAUAUUUCACACAAAUAAUUGAUAUAACAAAAUUGACAUAGCAAACACUGGAUCACAUAUUAAAUCAGAUAUGGUUAACAUAUAUUCCUAAAUAGAAUAGGAGACACAAAACCUGUAACAUUAUAAAACGAAUCAAGUAUUGUAAAUCAUACGUAAUAAACAAAAUAAUCAUUUAAAUAAUAUACAAACUGUACAAUUCGCAAUUUCUUUGCAAGAUUUGUUAUUAAACAGAUGUGUUG